UAAUUUUUGUAAAAUUGAAUAUUUAAAUUAUUUUUUUUUGUUUCUAGGGUAAAAUCGGGAAACUUAAUUACUUUUUGUUUAAUUUAUAAGAUUUGUAAAACGAACCAGAUUAGUACCUGGUUAGACAAAAUUUAAAAGAGCAGGAGUAAAGUUAUGUUUAAACUGUAAGGAUAUUGGCAGGCCUUUUAAAUUAUCUUUGGAGGUUGAGUAGUAAUUGAGAACCCUCAUUUUCAUCUUUCAUUUUAGGCGCAUGUAUGAUCGUUUAUUUUAUUCUUAAGGAUUGUAAACAAAAAUUUUUAUUUAUAAAAACAGAUAAAUACCUGGUUUAUAUGAAAGUUUAAAUUUGACCUACAAUAAUUUAUGUUUUUGGAUUCUUAUUCGAGAGAAUAGGAUGAAAUUGUAAAAGACAGUAAACUAUUUUUUAUAUAUAGUUGAAGUUUAUCUAAUGGCGGUACAAAUCAUC
This 463-nucleotide ribosomal RNA is filed under the name Steinernema arenarium. RNAcentral's name for it is "partial 12S ribosomal RNA". Lineage: Eukaryota; Metazoa; Nematoda; Chromadorea; Rhabditida; Steinernematidae. The record is from RNAcentral.